UACAGAAUGCCUGACUAAAGGAUAAUUUUGAUAGGAUUAAACAUGUGUACUAGCGACACUUCUGUAA
This 67-nucleotide transfer RNA is filed under the name Chrysomeloidea sp. 8 KM-2017. RNAcentral describes it as "tRNA-Ile". Lineage: Eukaryota; Metazoa; Arthropoda; Insecta; Coleoptera. The record is from RNAcentral.